UACAGAGGGUGCGAGCGUUAAUCGGAAUUACUGGGCGUAAAGCGUGCGUAGACGGUCAAGUAAGUCGGGUGUGAAAGCCCCGGGCUCAACCUGUGAAUUGCAUUCGAGACUGCGUGGCUAGGGUGCGGAAGAGGGAAGCGGAAUUUCCGGUGUAGCGGUGAAAUGCGUAGAUAUCGGAAGGAACACCAGUGGCGAAAGCGGCUUCCUGGUCCAGCACCGACGUUCAGGCACGAAAGCGUGGGGAGCAAACAGG
RNAcentral lists this ribosomal RNA (253 nucleotides) under uncultured bacterium. Its description in RNAcentral is "partial 16S ribosomal RNA". It matches the Rfam family "Bacterial small subunit ribosomal RNA", at positions 524 to 776 of the family's 1533-position model. The record is from RNAcentral.